GGUUCACUGCCAAAAACUAAAAAAUUCUAAACUUUAUAGUGAAUAAGUAUCGUGAGAGAAAGGUGAAAAGUUUUUGAUAAAAAUUUUGAAAAGUUCUGAAAUUUAAUGCAAUGCGCAGUUAGUGUGGUAUAAUACUAACGUACCUUUUGCAUAAUGUGCUAGCUAGUUUAUUAAAAUAGCGAGCUUAAAUAUUGUUUUAGGCGUAUUGAAAAAAAUAAUUAGUUAUUUUAAUAAGACCCGAAGCUAAGUGAUCUAAUUAUGGACAGGCUGAUACUAGAUUUAUAGGGCCGAACCUGUGAAUGUUGCAAAAUUCUAGGAUGAUCUGUAGUUAGGGGUGAAAGGCUAAUCAAACUUAGUGAUAGCUGGUUUUCCGCGAAACCUAUCGACGUAGGGGGUUAAUAAUUAAGUAGUGUGGUAAAGUUAACUUAUGAAAAGUCGCAUAUCGACAAUUUAUUUGAACCUCAUAAUACACUACUAAUAAAGUUAAUACUCAGACUAAUGGCGCAAAGGUCCUUAGUCAAAAGGGAAACAGCCCUCACCGAAUAAUAAGGUGCAUAAAUACUACUAAUUACAAAGAAUUGACUAUAUCUUUUAAUUGCAGGUGGGCUUGGAAGCAGCCAUCCUUUAAAGAAAGUGUAACAACUCAUAAUUAAAUUGAGUAGGUGUGCAUAAUCUACUUGCUAUAGUUGGUUCGAAAAUGUUCGAAAUAAGUAGUAUACCGAAUUAACGGAUAUAGCUUUAAAAGCUAUGUGGUAGCGGAAUGCUUUGUAUUUUUUUGAAGUAACGUCGCUAGACUUUAUGGAGAAAUCAUAGUUAUAUAUGCUAGUAUUAGUAACAAAUAUAAUGUGCGAAACAUUAUUGCUUAAUAUUUUAGGGUUACUUUGUAUUGAUAAUCUUACAAAGUGUAAUGCGGUAUCUAUGUUUUAAAGGUAGUUGAAAUAUAUGAUGAUGGCGGUAUUUUUGUAAUUCGGUUUUUUUUUUUUUUUAAUCAUUUGUGUUUAUGUUUAUGUUUUUAAACGUAAAUACCCCCGAGUUCAGGAAAAAAAAUACCCAAUAAACCGUACUAACUCUAACACAUGUAAGUCAUUUGAAUAAAGAAAAGCAAAGGGGGUAAUAAUAUUGAAGGAACUCGGCAAAUUGGCCCCGUAACUUCGGAAUAAGGGGUACUUGAAGGUUUAAGUAAAGAGGAAGUGGCGACUGUUUAAUAAAAACAUAAGAUUUUGCCAAAUCGAAAGAUGACGUAUAAAAUCUGACGCCUGCCCAGUGCUGCAAGGUGAAAUUUUUAGGUAUAUGCCUGAAAUAUAAGCCCCAGUAAACGGCGGCCGUAACCCUGACGGUCCAAAGGUAGCAAAAUUCCUUGACGGGUAAAUUCCGUCCUGCACGAAUGGCGUAACGACUGCUUCGCUGUCUCCAGUAUUAUCCUUGUGAAUUUGAAUUGGUUGUGAAGAUGCAACCCGAUACAGCUAGACGGAAAGACCCUAUGCACCUUUACUAUGUUCUAUUUUUAGAAUUAAAUUUAAAUUCUCUAGCGAGGGGGGAGCUGCGCGUAAUUGGAAGACCCCUGAAUUUACGUUUAGUUUUUAUUUGUAUAAUAAUAAUUUUUAUACGUGUAAAUAUAGAAGGGUAGUUUGACUGGGGCGGUUGCCUCCUAAAAGGUACCGGAGGUGUGCGUAUGGUUUUAAAAAACUACAAAAAUUGUAGUA
This 1703-nucleotide ribosomal RNA is filed under the name Candidatus Riesia sp. RNAcentral describes it as "partial 23S ribosomal RNA". It matches the Rfam family "Bacterial large subunit ribosomal RNA", at positions 450 to 2343 of the family's 2925-position model. The record is from RNAcentral. Lineage: Bacteria; Pseudomonadati; Pseudomonadota; Gammaproteobacteria; Enterobacterales; Enterobacteriaceae.